Molecule: long non-coding RNA, 1436 nt
Organism: Phyllostomus discolor (pale spear-nosed bat)
Lineage: Eukaryota; Metazoa; Chordata; Mammalia; Chiroptera; Phyllostomidae
Exons: 2
Source: RefSeq, a predicted model, not a curated record
GGGGGGUGGGAAUCGCUCCGCGGCUUCCCGGCGAGGUCUCUCAGGCCUCUGAUCCACCCACCUGGCGGCUCUGCCCUAGGAGCCCGCUAGGCAUAGAGACUGACCUCCCUACCCCGCCCCGCCCCGCCCCAUCCCUAACAAUGCGCGGAAUUCCCGAGGCUUCUAGGUGCGCAGCAUCCGCUCUGCUACCGCAGCUCCUCCCCCGGGAACAGAAGGGUGGGAGUGAGGAUGGGACGGGUUGAGAUAGAGCAGAAAGAGGAAGCCAAAAGCUGAUUUCCCUAGGCCGUGAAGCCCAUCAGCCCUUUGACACUCCAGUCUCCUUUCCAGCAGGAACCCCCACGUGCCGGGAGAGGGACAGCCGGGCUUUCUGAUCUCCGGGCAGCAGGAUCCCGGGACGCUGAUGUUAAAUGCGCUGCCUCUAAGUUCACGAUGUGCAUGAAGGAGUUGACCUUGCCCGUCAAAACCACCUGUGGUGUAAGAGUAUGGGGGAGAGGUUCUUAUUACUCUGAACCGUGCUUUUAUUCUCCACACUCCCCUACCGAAUUUCAGGAUGCAAAAGCAAACUCUGCCUUCUUGAAAGCAGCCAACAAUCUAUAUGGAAAAAUGUACAGACAAGAUUACUAAAUAAUAUAAAGCAUUCCACGAUGCCUCAUCAAUACCAGCCAUUUUACAAGCUCCAAAAAUUAAAAACUGCUCUGUUCUGGCAACCAGGAAAAGACUGAUAUACACAAAUAGAGCAAUUAAUAGACGAGUAACGUCUUUCACUGGUUAGUUGGUUCUUACACAGCAAGCUUUAAGAAAGCAGGCACCUCCUUUUACCCCAUUUCUAUUUCCAAGCCAAAAUGAAAAUUUGUGCAAAAGUUGUUCUCUUGGGCAUUAACUGCUUCCCCCACCCCAGCUCACCUGGCACAUUCCUACACUUUUGCAAUUCCAGUAUUGUUUUUGCUCCUCCACCUGUAGAAAACUACUUUAAACCCUUUUAGCCCUUGGGAGAUAGCUCCAACACCAGCCUUAAUUACCCUAGAUGGAGACAAAAAUCUAGGGUGGGGCCUUCCUCCUAGACAGCAGGUGGAAAAAUUCUUGGAGUAUUUCUAGGAUAAAGAUAGAGACUGACUUUAGAAAUUUGCUAAACAUUUCAAGUACCUUGCAAACCACCAGGUACUAUGUGAGGUAUGUUCAGCACCAAAAUGUAUUUAAAGACUCCAGGAGGUGAGCACUAAGGGCACAAACCUCCUAUGAUGAGCCUUGUCCUGUGAGCGCUCUUUGAGCACACCUCUGUCCCUUUUGUGCCAUUGGAACCUUGACCUCAAGCUUAGGCAUCCCUGAAAUGCUCCUUCGCUACCCAGUGUCAAGGAAGAUUCAGCCCUGGACUUUGGAUUCAGAAGAACCAGGAAUACUACUCUUCCUGUAUCAAUGUAAAGAAGUAAUUGCUACUU